AACGAACGCUGGCGGCAGGCCUCAUACAUGCAAGUCGAGCGAUUAAGACUCCUUCGGGAGUGUAUAAAGCGGCGAACGGGUGAGUAACAGGUGGAUGAUCUACCUUCCGGUGGGGGAUAACGGCUGGAAACGGCCGCUAAUACCGCAUUCGGUUAAUACGCUGUGGCGUAUUAAAGAAAGGCGCCUCAAAGCGCCGCCGGGAGAUGAGUCCGCCCCCCAUUAGCUAGUUGGUGAGAUAACAGCUCACCAAGGCAACGAUGGGUAGCCGAACUGAGAGGUUGAUCGGCCACACUGGAACUGAGACACGGUCCAGACACCUACGGGUGGCAGCAGUAGGGAAUAUUGGGCAAUGGGCGAAAGCCUGACCCAGCCAUGCCGCGUGAGUGAUGAAGGUCCUAGAGAUUGUAAAACUCUUUUCUGAGGAAAGAAUGAAUAGGGAAGGAAAUGUCCUUAUUUGACGGUACCUCAGGAAUAAGGAACGGCUAACUCCGUGCCAGCAGCCGCGGUAAAACG
RNAcentral lists this ribosomal RNA (513 nucleotides) under uncultured bacterium. RNAcentral describes it as "bacterial SSU rRNA". It matches the Rfam family "Bacterial small subunit ribosomal RNA", at positions 29 to 527 of the family's 1533-position model. The record is from RNAcentral.